RNAcentral lists this ribosomal RNA (415 nucleotides) under uncultured bacterium. RNAcentral's name for it is "bacterial SSU rRNA". It matches the Rfam family "Bacterial small subunit ribosomal RNA", at positions 355 to 776 of the family's 1533-position model. The record is from RNAcentral.
UGGGGAAUAUUGCUCAAUGGGCGAAAGCCUGAAGCAGCGACGCCGCGUGAAGGAUGAAGGUCUUCGGAUUGUAAACUUCUUUUACAGGGGACAAACGCCCGCAAGGGUUGAUGGUACUCUGUGAAUAAGCACCGGCCAACUACGUGCCAGCAGCCGCGGUAAUAUGUAGGGUGCAAGCGUUGUUCGGAAUUACUAGGUGUAAAGCGCCUGUAGGUGUCCCGAUAAGUUUCGUGUGAAAUCUUUCCGCUUAACGGAAAAACUGCACGAAAUACUGUCGGGAUUGAGUGCGAGAGAGGAAACUGGAAUUCCCGGUGUAGCAGUGAAAUGCGUAGAUAUCGGGAGGAACACCAAUGGCGAAGGCAGGUUUCUGGCUCGUUACUGACACUGAGAGACGAAAGCGUGGGGAGCAAACAGG